This 441-nucleotide ribosomal RNA is filed under the name uncultured bacterium. RNAcentral's name for it is "partial 16S ribosomal RNA". It matches the Rfam family "Bacterial small subunit ribosomal RNA", at positions 338 to 795 of the family's 1533-position model. The record is from RNAcentral.
CCUACGGGAGGCAGCAGUGAGGAAUAUUGGUCAAUGGCCGGAAGGCUGAACCAGCCAAGUCGCGUGAGGGACGACUGCCCUAUGGGUUGUAAACCUCUGUCCUCUGUGAAGAUAAUGACGGUAGCAGAGGAGGAAGCUCCGGCUAACUACGUGCCAGCAGCCGCGGUAAUACGUAGGGAGCAAGCGUUGUCCGGAUUUACUGGGUGUAAAGGGUGCGUAGGCGGCCCUGCAAGUCAGAAGUGAAAUCCAUGGGCUUAACCCGUGAACUGCUUUUGAAACUGUAGGGCUUGAGUGAAGUAGAGGCAGGCGGAAUUCCCGGUGUAGCGGUGAAAUGCGUAGAGAUCGGGAGGAACACCAGUGGCGAAGGCGGCCUGCUGGGCUUUAACUGACGCUGAAGCACGAAAGCGUGGGUAGCAAACAGGAUUAGAUACCCCAGUAGUC